This 327-nucleotide ribosomal RNA is filed under the name uncultured eukaryote. RNAcentral's name for it is "partial 18S ribosomal RNA". It matches the Rfam family "Eukaryotic small subunit ribosomal RNA", at positions 1470 to 1796 of the family's 1831-position model. The record is from RNAcentral.
CCCUUAGAUGUUCUGGGCCGCACGCGCGCUACACUGAUUCAUGCAACAAGUUUUGUCCUUGGCUGAUAGGCCUGGGUAAUCUUUGAACGUGAAUCGUGAUGGGGAUAGAUGAUUGCAAUUAUUCAUCUUCAACGAGGAAUUCCUAGUAAACGCAAGUCAUCAGCUUGCAUUGAUUACGUCCCUGCCCUUUGUACACACUGCCCGUCGCACCUACCGAUUGAAUGGUCCGGUGAAAUCUUCGGAUCUGAGAGAUGUCUGAUUAAUUUCGGACGCCUUUUGGAAAAGUUGCUUAAACCUUACCAUUUAGAGGAAGGUGAAGUCGUAACA